Molecule: long non-coding RNA, 1183 nt
Filed under: Rattus norvegicus (Norway rat)
Lineage: Eukaryota; Metazoa; Chordata; Mammalia; Rodentia; Muridae
Description: long non-coding RNA NONRATT029556
Source: RNAcentral
AGCCCAGCACUUCCUGGUUUUGCUGACAGUAUUUCAGCUCCAUGGCUGCGGAGCCACAAGCCCUGGCUUAUAGGUUUGCUUGCUAAGGCUAGCCUCUCCAGUGCAUGGCUGAUGAUAGGGUACUUUCUGCUGUUUCUCCCCCAACCCCUAAGCUACCAAACUAGAGCUUGUAAGUCUGGUUGAAUAUUCACACAGGGUGAUUUUAGUUGGUUUGUCUGAACCCUAAUAACUAAAAGCUCAGCUUUCUCCAGCAAAAGAGGCUGUAUGUAUUGUCACAGCGGUGGGCAUGGGGAUUAGGAAGUUCAAGGCCCAACAACAGGAAAGUUAACAAUCGAAUGAAGGCUGUAUUUACAUAAUUUACAUGGAGGAUGAGUAUAUUAGCCACACAACAUUAAACACUGGCCUAGGAAUUUGUCCCCUUGACUGGUUGCUCUUUAAUCGACUUGAUACCAGCAGAUGGAGGGAGGGAAGUAUUCACCGAAGAUGCCAAGCUUAGUUUUGGAUUCCUACAGCAUUGGUUUUAAACCCUUCAGCUUGAUCAUGUUUUUUUCCCUUUGGUAAGCUUUCUCGAUUCACUGAAUUCACUUCUUACAGAGCAGCACUCUACCCUAGUAAAUUUUCUCUUGGGUCUCCAAUUUCUCUCUGGAGAGAGAGUGCCCCCUGCUGGUGUAGCUUGUCUUAGUCCAAAGGCCCUCUUGCUCUGGGCUGGCCUGGUCACCAGAAUGUGUCCCUCUAAGUCUAGGCCCGGCCCACACAGACACCAAAGCUUUUCAGCUAUUCUAGGAAUCAGGGAGGAUAAUAUAUUCUUUUCCCAUCUUGCUAUUACUCUGGGUCAAGGCAUCAAUCUAGAACCGGGUUCUCAAACAGCUGUCCACUUUAAGUCAUUUUUGCUCAGACCUGUACCAUAUGCUGGAAAAAGACAUAGGCAAGACCUUAAACUAAUACCUUUAUGUGGCAGCCACUAAAACCAUUCCACAAUGUGCCUGGUAUCUUGGGGUUUUCUUGCCCAAACACACAACUGUCUUCCAAGGAUAAUCACAGCAUGUGGCAUUUCAGACCAUAUGUUUCAGGUUUCUAUUUUGGAAACCUUCAACUGUCUUGCUUAUGCAGUGUAUGUAAAUUUAUUCUUUUUUAAAAUAAAAUCUUUUUUUGAGUAUGAUUAUUAAAUGCUUUAAAAAUCUAA